AUAUGUACUAUCAAGGAUACCUCACAUAUGGAAAUCCUCACAUGUACUAUCAGGAAUAUCCCCCAGAGCAAGAUCCCUCCGAAUGAGUACCUAAGUAUGUAGGAUUCGACGUUACAAUGGGAGUCAUCAACAAUUUCCGGUCGGUCGUAAGGUUUUCCUAUGCGAAAACACCGAAAUAAAAAUUUUAGAGUAUAUUAUGUGUUAACUAUUUGAGACUUGUAUUAUUUGAACCUAUAUUUUAUUUGAACCUAUAAAUUGUGUUAACAAGUUGAACCUAUAUUUUAUUGCAUUUGGAUUGUGGUUUGUAUUGAUAUACAUAUGUUUUACGUCAAUUCUAUUAAUAUUUGCUUUGUAA
Molecule: long non-coding RNA, 355 nt
Organism: Panicum virgatum (switchgrass)
Lineage: Eukaryota; Viridiplantae; Streptophyta; Magnoliopsida; Poales; Poaceae
Exons: 2
Source: RefSeq, a predicted model, not a curated record